CCUACGUGAGGCUGCAGUGAGGAAUAUUGGUCAAUGGGCGAGAGCCUGAACCAGCCAAGUCGCGUGAAGGAUGACGGAUCUAUGGUUUGUAAACUUCUUUUAUAUGGGAAUAAAGUGAGUUACGUGUUCCUUUUUGUAUGUACCAUAUGAAUAAGCAUCGGCUAAUUCCGUGCCAGCAGCCGCGGUAAUACGGAGGAUGCGAGCGUUAUCCGGAUUUCUUGGGUUUAAAGGGUGCGUAGGUGGUAAAUUAAGUCUGCGGUGAAAGUUUGGGGCUCAACCAUAACAUUGCAGUUGAAACUGGCUGACGUGAGUAUAUUGGAGGUAGGCGGAAUGCGUGGUGUAGCGGUGAAAUGCAUAGAUAUGACGAAGAACUCCGAUUGCGAAGGCAGCUUACUAAACUAGAACUGACGCUGAAGCACGAAAGCGUGGGGAUCAAACAGGAUUAGAUACCCGGGUAGUC
RNAcentral lists this ribosomal RNA (460 nucleotides) under uncultured bacterium. RNAcentral describes it as "partial 16S ribosomal RNA". It matches the Rfam family "Bacterial small subunit ribosomal RNA", at positions 338 to 795 of the family's 1533-position model. The record is from RNAcentral.